AAGGAAUAAAUUUAAUAACCAAAAUAAUAAAAAAAAAAAAAAUUGAAAGAAAAAAAAAUUAAGAAGCAAAUAUGAGAAAGUAUAAUAAUCAUCCUAAUAUUUAGGACUUUCAAAUUAAUUAAAAUGAGGUAUCUAAGAAAUUAUAAAAUUUAAUAUUUUUAAAUUAAUUAAAAUUUUACUUUAUAUAAAAAAAGAAUAUCUAUAAAUUAUUAUGUUUCUACGUUUUCUUCUUAUUUUGAUAUGUCUAUAAAAUGUUGUGCUUCUACAUUUUCUUCUUACUUUGAUAUUUGAUAUGUUGAUUGAUGGUUUAUUAAAGUUUUCUUCUUGCAUCCCUUAUUAUCAUUCUUUUUUUCUUCUUCAUCCUUUUAGUUAAUAAAAUUUAAAUAUUAUAUAUUUAUUAUACAUAAUUGACAAGGGAUUUUCCCUUUUAAUAAUUUCUCAUGUUUCUCUUUCAGUUGAAAAAUCAUAUUAAACAAGUAUGUUGCUGCCGAAUGAAGUAGCAGGAAAAAUCGAAGGUUUCUCUCUUUUCCUUUUCAUCUACUUUUUACAGGAGUUGUAUUUCUCUUUCCAUAUAUUUGAUAGUUUAUAAAUAUAAUGUGUAGUGCUAAAUUUUUCAAAACAACAUCAUAGAGCACUAUUAUUAUAGUGAUUUCAAUUGAUUCAGUUAUUAUUUUUCUCCUUUUCGACAGGUUUUUUAUGCACUGUUUGUUGGUUGUAUCAUAUAAUUCUCGUUGAAAUAUUUUGUUGAUAGACUUUAGUGUUUCUUUGUUAAAAUUCUUUCCUUAGCAUAUUAGUUUUUCUUAUAAUAGUAAAGAUAUUAAUUUGUUGCCCUCUAACACUUCUAACAACAUAUGAAUUGCCCCAUAUGUCAUAUCGAGAAAUUUUUUUAAGCAUUUUUUGUCGUCCUAUAGCCAUUGUAAUUUUUCUAAAUUUAGUUUAAAGUGCUUUUAAAUGCUUUUAUAUGAUUUUGUAUGCAUAUAUUAAUUUUCUAUUUAAGUAUUUUUCAUAUUUAAUAAAAUCAUCAAUUUAUUUUUAAUCAAGACAUAUUUUCUUUUAUAAUAUUAUAAAAUUGAAUUCAUUGGAGCGAGGUACACGCGCAGAGCGCAUACUCUAAACUAGUUAUUAUAUUAUUAUAUUAUAAAUAUAGAUAUAUGUAUAGAUUAUAGAUAUAGAUUUUAAAAGUAUUCUUUUCCAUUUUUUUCUUUUUUUAAUUUUAUAUGUCAAAUCAAAUGAUGUAACACAAAUUGAAAGGAACAAAGUACAUAAUAAAUUGGACCCCAUAGCCAAGCGUCUGUGAUUUCUGAGCAAGCAGCAUAAAUUCUCGUAUGGACCAAGUACGAGUAUAGGCAUUCUCGUAUGGACCAAGUACGAGUAUAGGCUUAUUCAAUCUUGAUAAAAAAAAAACUGAGAGAAACAAUAAACCAAAAAUAAAUGAAAAAGAAAAAUGAAAAUCAAAGAAUGACUAUUAUGAACUAGUGGUGAAUUUAGAAUAUAAAAUUAUUUAAGCUUUGUCUUCAACGAAUUCAUUGCGACUCAAUACUUUCAAAAAAAAAAAAAAAAAUAGAAAAUUGUGUCUAUAAAAAUUGCCUUUUUGAAAAUGUUUCGAAUGGAUUUUUCGCCAAAACCCCUUAAUAAUGGGUCAAUUUCCAAUGAGACAUCUGUCAGAAAUUCCCAUCAUUUUAGUACUAGUUUCUAACUUUAUCUUCUCAUUGUCUUCUCAUUGAUCAUCGUGGAGUACUCUCCAAUCUCCAUAGCUAACAACAAAUGCAUGGGCUGUUAAGUGGGCCCAUCAAGUUUAUCCGGUUUAUGGACCGAUCCGGAUCCAUGCUUGUUAAACGGGUCAGUUCAAUUUCGAGCCCAACAGUAAUUUUUUAAAAAUUAAUCCUGAACCAGCCCACUCCGAUCUAACCCACCUAGACCUGAUCAAAAUCGGUCCAAAAAUCCGAUUAAAAAAAAAAAAAAAAAAAUUUCUCCAAUAUACAGUAUAUAUACCCACCUAUAAACAUUUUAAAUUCGUUAAAACAAUAUAUAUACCCUAUAUAUAUAGUAUAUAGUACAUUAAAAUUUAAAAUACAUAUACACAUAUACACAAUUAUACAUGUUACAAGAUAUAUACUACAAUAUAAUGAUAUAUAUACUAAUUUAUAAAACAUAUACACAUGUAUUAUACGUUAAAUAUAUACUACUUUAGAAUCUGUAGAAUAUAUAUACAUAUAUAUACGUACCAUUCAAUAUAUAUGUACUACUUUAAAUAAAACAUAUACUACAAUAUAUACACACACUAAAUAUAUAGUUGCUUUUGCAAAAAUUUUGACUUUUGAAAGAGAAUCGCCACUUAAUUUUGAAAAAGAAUUAAGAAACCUUUAGGGAGCUACUUAAAACGAUUCAAAACAGGAAAAUCGUUUUAAGUUGAGAGAUUCUGAGUAAGCGAUUUCUAUUAACGUUUUAGGAAGGUGUUAAGCACCUAAAACGUCCGCUAACUUGCGAUUAUCCAGACUGUUUGAAAAUCAUCUUCGAAAAGAUUAAUUUUGUCGAAAAGUGAUUGAUUUUUUGAAAAGAAAGCGAUUUUGAAAAUAUUUUGGUGUUUAUGCAAAAACUAGUUUUUUAGCGACUUAACUAAAGAUUUAACUAGGUUCGCAAAGCAUAUAAGGAAAACAAACAUAAAGGACAGGGGGAAGGGGAGGAAGUAAGGGAUUUAGGCCAUCGGCCCAAACCAACAAAACAUGUCCUAGUCUAAUUGGGCUUUCGAUCCAUUUCACCCGUCCCAGUCUAGUGUUUCGAGUCGUUAGCUCGAGUCUCGCUCCACCUGUAUUAAAUACAACCUUGGCUUCGUAGCCCAAAUGAAUGAAUAAAAAUAAAUAACUAAAUAAACAAAGACAACAAUAAUGAAUGACUAAAUAAAUAAAUGAAAUGGAAAUUGAGACUUUCAAGUCUCUUAGCUGCUUCAAAUGGGAUUUUAACCCAUUUUCCUUCUUCAUUCGACUCUUCGCAUCGGUAUACCAUGUGACUGUCUUUUUAGUCCUUUCCAAGGUCUUCUAAAAGGGAAUGGGCCUCAAUGGCCCAUUUGUGAAAUGCAGAAGGGAAAAAGCCAAAAGACUUCGGAGCAGGUGCAUGCAAAGAAAAAUGAGAAAAAUAGCAUAUGCACAGGAUUUUAAUAAACUAUUAAUUCGUACUCUAUUUAAAUAACAAACAUGCAUAACCCAUUGCACCAAUACCAAACACGUCUUAAUCUACUACACCAAGCUGGACACGCAAAAAGAACAUAAACCAUUGAACCCGAUAUAAGGUUGUGCCCAUCAAACUUGAUAAUUAAUCAUAAAUAGAUUACUAUAAUUUGUAAAGACAAAAGGAAUAUAUACAAACACUUGCGAACAACAAUUCAUAACGUUUAUACAUAUAUAUAUGUAUCCAUCUAUAAUGAAUCGAAGACACUCAGUCGCAGGAGGUGACAACAAUGAUUUGAGAAAUAUUCGUUCAACACAGACCAAAUAACUAGCAAUGUGAUCCAAUCUUAUAUAUACAAAGAAUGAAAACAUUAAGAAGUUAGGCUAAAUUCGAUGGCUUUAUUAUGACUUCAAAAUUCUACUAAUUCUUCGUCGGUCGAACUAAAACUCGAAGGACGGGAUCAUUUAAGCAAUCAAAUCACUAAACUUUUUUAAGCAAUCAAAUCACUAAACUUAAACAAAAGUCUAUCUUUUGACACUCAUUUGGGCUAAAGCACAUCAUUUGUGAGCUAACCCCACCACUCCCAUUGAUAAUAUGAAUCAAGGGACAUGAGGGAGAUUUUUACCUUACUUGGAAAGAACGAAGCGAAAGUAUAGACAAACGGGCAUCCAACAAAGGAACAAGCAAGAACUUCUCGUUAACAACUUACAGAUUCACAAGAAAAUUGCACUAAAGUUUAAGUCUUUUACAAAGAAACAAUCCUUUCAAUGCCUCAAAACAUUAUAAAGAAUUAAAAUCAUUUCUCAAAAAAAGAAAGGAAGCUUGCUAAGAUAAACUAACAAAAUCCAAAAUUUGCAUAUCGGCAUAACUAAAUUACUAUCCUAGCUACUGUUAGGCUCAAUCACAGAAACCUAAAGAAAGUUAUGAAGUCACUUUAGACGUUUCGAGCAUAAUGAACACACAGAUGUAAAGGACGCAUCAAAACAGGUUUAAACUAGCACAUGCUAGCAUUAACUAUGAGAAAGACACCAGAUUUUUUUUUUGUUUACUAAGCAGGAAGAUGGAAGAUACACCAAACGUGAAUAUCAAAAUCGUUCAAAAUUCAAUCAAGGCCCAGCCAACCUACAAACUAGCUAAACAUAUAUUCUUGAAUCUAAUCAUUCCGGAAACAACGACCAUAUUAGAUGAACACCUAUAAUAACAGUAUACACACCAGAUUUAAGCACACAAGGUACUGAUCCUUAAGGCAGCCUCCGGUGAACGUUGAAUCGAUAAACAACUCAAAGAUCACUUAUCAUAGGCAAAACCUAAGGCCAGUGAGGCGCCUACAGCAAACAAACCCAGCAUACAGGGUGAUCUCAAGAUUACUCACGACUACAGAAUGAUGAGAUGAAGAAGAAGCAAACGAAAGCUUAAAUGGAGUAGGAUAUUACCUUUCCGAGAGCAGCAAAACAAGACAACGAGUUAAUCGCUAGGACCGUCACCACCGGGAACUGAUAUUAUCGACUUGAGAACUUCCGAAUUGAUCGACCAACUUCCAAAAGGAAAAGAAAGGAGAAAACUUUGCUAUGAAGGAAAGCUUUUAGCUCUAGGAUCCUUUGCCUUUUCCACUCAAAAUUUUCUAACCAAAAUUUUUCCAACCUAGCUCUCUCGAAAAAAUUUUCCCAACCCCUAAUUUUUCUGAACCCUAAUUUCUCUGAAAAAAAAGAGACCUCCGAAAACAAUACCCAGCUGGUUCUUAUACAGAAGACCAAAUCGGGGGUAGUUUAGGGAUGGAAAAAUCAAAAUUCAAAAAAAUGGCUAACCCCCUUCUAACUGACUCUCCCUUUUGGAUUUAUCUCCCAAGAAAAAGACGAAAUUGGCGGACCAAUAGAAUUCUUCCAAAACCAAUUCCCCUCAGGAACCAAUCGAAAUCCCCCAAAUGGGUAUGGAAUCGUACCCUUAUCCCGAGAUUUACGGGAUUGAUCCGUUGGGGGAAGACACCUCACCAUUUUUAGAAGCUUCAAGGUCUUCCUCGUCGUACUAUUGCGUGGAACGCGUGAAGAAGGAUAGGGUUGGGUUGAAACUGGGUUGGUUCGAACUGAAUUCGGGUCAGCGUCGAUGGGUUCGAAGUUGGUCGAUGUUGUCAUUUGGUUGUACGUUGAAUAUUUGGUUGUUGUACCUUGGGGAAUUGACUGUUGUUGCUGAUUCAAGAAGAAAGAAACCCUUGGUGGACCGGAUCGCUGUAUCAAAUCUUAAAAUAGGGGGGAGCUGCUGAUCGUUUUAAGAUUAUAUUGGGCCAAUCUUUGGGCUGGAGAUUUUAAAAUAAGAAAUGGGCUGGUGAGUAUUUAGCUAUUGGGCCGAAAUUGAUGUGGUGUUGGGUUAUUUUGGGUAGCUUAGGGAUUUAGAUUAUA
This 5558-nucleotide long non-coding RNA is filed under the name Capsicum annuum. RNAcentral describes it as "long non-coding RNA (CANN_LNC002922)". The record is from RNAcentral. Lineage: Eukaryota; Viridiplantae; Streptophyta; Magnoliopsida; Solanales; Solanaceae.